AAAGUGAAGUGCAGCGGCGAAGGUAAUCCUAUCAUGGCGUUUAUUAAUUUUAUGUUUUGCUGUUUUCUUUUCUGUUUGCCGAUUAACACAUGUGUAGCAUCAAUAAUCGAUAUUGAGGAGUUUUUACUUUCUUUGAAGUCGUGUUUGAGACGCCUAGAGCAAGCGGAACUUCGUAGAGACAUAAUACUGAUGGAAGUUUUGUUUCUUAAACUAGAGAGUCAUCUCGAAAUUAUAGCAGCAAUUCUUAUUUAUUUUUUCUACGCUGAUAUUCAACAUCCAAGUUUGAUUUCCAUAUUUGAACAAAUUCACACAGAUCUGAAAUGUGCAGUUGAAUCUUUACGCAUUAAUAUUGACUCUAUGCAAGUAAAUACUUGCGACUCUACCUACAGAACCGUGGCAGCGAGACAAGGACACGUGGGAAUACCAAGAUUUUCAAUCAGAAGUAACCAGAUCGAUUUUCUUCGGAAAAUGGGAUUUUCAUGGAAAGCAAUUGCAAAAUGCCUGGGAGUCUCCGUUUCUACUGUGUAUCGCAGAAGAAAAGAAAUGGGAAUGGAUACCUCCCAUCACAACAGAUUUUCUGACAUGAGUAAUCACAGUCUUGAUGAUGAAAUACAACACGUUUUGUCUCUUACUCCCAAUGCUGGAGAAAGCUAUGUCAGGGGCAGUCUUGUGCAGAGAGGAGUGAGAGUGCAAAGGUGGAGGGUUCGGGAGCGGCUUUCUAUUUUAGAUCCAGUUGGAAGAGCUGUAAGAAAACGAAGAGCAAUUAGACGCAGAGUUUACAAUGUGCCCGGGCCAAAUCACUUAUGGUAUGCAUAUUCUUUUUAAACCAUUUCCUGACAUUGUCUCGCCCUAAUAUGUCACAUAGAAAGCUUGCUGCUCGCAGUAGUUUAAUCAAAUAUUACCAAACAAGAUAUGUAACACAACCUAUGCUGCAUAGUUAUUUAAAUUAAUAUCUUUUUAUGUAGAUUAUUUAUUUUGGCCCACCUCUGCAAGCUUGUAUGUGAUAAAAGACCACCUAAUGGUCAAGGACAGGUUAAAAAUGCCACAAAUAUCUGCAUAGACGUACAGUAGUUUACAUGUAAGAAGUUUGUUACUGACUACCUUAUCCUUACGAAAAAUAACUUCAUAAUUGUUUUCCUUUCAGUUGUCAGUUAUAAUUCAAGUUGGCAUUUUAUUAUUUUACAAUAUAGCACAACCCAAGGAGGACAUUUGUAUUAUUGGAGCCACAAGAGAUGGAAAAUACCGAUCUCAGCAGCAUGCAUGCAUAAUUAUAAAUAUCCACGUUGAAGCUUGUAUUUGUAAUUAAAUUGAGUUUCUAUUGUUUCCACAGGCACAUUGAUGGUAACCACAAGCUAGUGUCAUGGAGAUUUAUUUUCCAUGGAUGUGUGGAUGGCUUCAGUCGACUUCUCAUCUACUUAAAAUGUUGCACAAAUAAUUUGUCCCAAACAGUUUUAACACUGUUUGAAGAUGGAGUAUCUAAAUUUGGACUACCAUACCGAGUUAGGGGGGAUCUAGGGGGAGAGAAUAUUCGAGUUGCCCGCUUUAUGAUUACUAUGAGGGGUGUAAAUAGAGGUAGCUUCAUAGCGGGAAGGAGUGUUCAUAACCAACGAAUUGAGCGGCUGUGGGCAGAGCUCAACAGAGUGGUCAUACACUACUACAGUGACUUGUUUCACUGGAUGGAAAAUCAGGGAAUAUUAGAAUCUAUAAGAGGGUACCACAUUUAUGCUCUUCAUUAUGUUUAUUUGGGCAAGAUCAAUAGAUCUGUCACAGAAUUCAUGCACCAGUGGAAUAACCACACCUUGAGUACUGAAGGACAUCGUUCUCCUUACCAGUUGUGGACUGAAGGAAUGUUGCAGAACAGUACUGUUCUUCAUGAUGUGCCUGUAUCAGAAUAUGAUAUCGAUGGUGCUCAAAAUCCAGACUAUGAUACCAAUGACCAUAUAUUGCAUGAAAAUACACUGCUGUCUGAAGAGCAAAUAAACUACCUCCAGUCAAUGGUAGAUCCGAGCACUGAUGAUUUAAAUUAUGGAAUAGAUCAUUAUAUGUUCACGUGUCAUAUUUUACAGAGCGUUUUUGGUUAUGAAGCGUGAUGUUUGAAGUCACAUAGAAGUACAAAAAAAUCUUUCUACUGCUCAUCAAAUAUUAUAUUUAAAGAGUGGCCCAACAGUCACACACUCAGGAUUCCUGAGUGUAAGACUGUUCAUCAAAUUGAACUGUAUAUGGUCACACAGAAUGCACCUCAGAUAGAUGGGAGAUUUUCAGGGUGAUUUUUAAAGCUUUUUGCUCCACAGCAAAAGCUUCUCCAGAUUUUCUGAAAGUAAUUGUAAAAGUUUAAAGGUGCAAAUCUAGCCAGAGACAAUGUAAGUAUGGAAGAGAAAUAAAAUUAUUUUUUGAAAACA
This is a long non-coding RNA of Acipenser ruthenus (sterlet), 2399 nucleotides long. RefSeq lists it as uncharacterized. The transcript is spliced from 2 exons. The record is from RefSeq and is a predicted model, not a curated record. NCBI's taxonomy places the organism in Eukaryota, Metazoa, Chordata, Actinopteri, Acipenseriformes, Acipenseridae.